This 464-nucleotide ribosomal RNA is filed under the name uncultured Thiothrix sp. RNAcentral's name for it is "bacterial SSU rRNA". It matches the Rfam family "Bacterial small subunit ribosomal RNA", at positions 524 to 988 of the family's 1533-position model. The record is from RNAcentral. Lineage: Bacteria; Pseudomonadati; Pseudomonadota; Gammaproteobacteria; Thiotrichales; Thiotrichaceae.
UACGGAGGGUGCAAGCGUUAAUCGGAAUUACUGGGCGUAAAGCGUGCGUAGGCGGUUUAUUAAGUCAGAUGUGAAAUCCCCGGGCUCAACCUGGGAACUGCAUCUGAUACUGGUAGACUAGAGUGUGGGAGAGGAGAGUGGAAUUUCCGGUGUAGCGGUGAAAUGCAUAGAGAUCGGAAGGAACAUCAGUGGCGAAGGCGACUCUCUGGACCAACACUGACGCUGAGGCACGAAAGCGUGGGUAGCAAACAGGAUUAGAUACCCUGGUAGUCCACGCCGUAAACGAUGUCAACUAGCCGUCAGGCUCGCUUUAGAGUUUGGUGGUGGAGCUAACGUAUUAAGUUGACCGCCUGGGGAGUACGCUCGCAAGAGUAAAACUCAAAGGAAUUGACGGGGGCCCGCACAAGCGGUGGAGCAUGUGGUUUAAUUCGACGACGCGAAAAAACUUACCUGGGCUUGACAUG